This is a small nucleolar RNA of Myxocyprinus asiaticus (Chinese sucker), 133 nucleotides long. RefSeq annotates it as U8 small nucleolar RNA. The record is from RefSeq and is a predicted model, not a curated record. The transcript has a single exon. NCBI's taxonomy places the organism in Eukaryota, Metazoa, Chordata, Actinopteri, Cypriniformes, Catostomidae.
ACAUCAGUGAGGUACAUCCUUACCUGUUACCUUAGAAAUAAGGUUUCAGAACAUGAUGAUUGGAUUCAAUGAAUACAUGAUUAUAUUCUGUAUUUGUACUGGGAUAGCAACCCCUUUACGAGUCCUGUCUGAC